RNAcentral lists this long non-coding RNA (486 nucleotides) under Mytilus galloprovincialis (Mediterranean mussel). The record is from RNAcentral. Lineage: Eukaryota; Metazoa; Mollusca; Bivalvia; Mytilida; Mytilidae.
GCGCCCUUUCGUGUUGCUCAGUCUUUUUCUGUGGGUUUUGUUUUACACUAUCGUUUAAUUUUCGAAUUUUGGGUUUGAAUGUCACUCUCUAUAUAACUAUAUAAUCAUUCAUUUUGACAUUGUAAUUCAGAAAGGAUAACAUAUACGGUGUAAUAUUUUCUUAAUUCAGGACAAACAAGUAUUUACGGACAACUUCUUUAUGACGUAUUUAGAACUUGAAAGCAUACCAAAGGUAUGUGGUCAUAUAAACUGUGUGCUAAUGCAAUUAUAAGGAUUUUAAUGAUUGUUGCUAAAACAAAAAAUAUGGAGAGUUAUUCCUAUUUCGAAUCAUACACGCCAUAUGGAGCAACACGAAGUAAACGCAGUUAAAUUAGAAGUUCAGUAACGACAUCCUUUAUGUUAUCAGUUUGUUCGUUUUGUACUAGUAGAUUUGUAAAAACAAACGAAAUGUUCACUCUUAUUUAUCCUUUAUGAAAUUGAAGCUCG